GACGAACGCUGGCGGCGUGCUUAACACAUGCAAGUCGAACGGAAAGGCCCUGCUUUUGUGGGGUGCUCGAGUGGCGAACGGGUGAGUAACACGUGAGUAACCUGCCCUUGACUUUGGGAUAAAUUCAGGAAACUGGGGCUAAUACCGGAUAUAAUCUCCUGCUGCAUGGUGGGGGUUGGAAAGUUUCGGCGGUUGUGGAUGGACUCGCGGCUUAUCAGCUUGUUGGUGGGGUAGUGGCUUACCAAGGCUUUGACGGGUAGCCGGCCUGAGAGGGUGACCGGCCACAUUGGGACUGAGAUACGGCCCAGAAUCCUACGGGAGGCAGCAGUGGGGAAUAUUGCACAAUGGGCGGAAGCCUGAUGCAGCAACGCCGCGUGCGGGAUGACGGCCUUCGGGUUGUAAACCGCUUUCGCCUGUGACGAAGCGUGAGUGACGGUACUGGGUAAAGAAGCACCGGCUAACUACGUG
Molecule: ribosomal RNA, 468 nt
Filed under: uncultured bacterium
Lineage: Bacteria
Description: partial 16S ribosomal RNA
Rfam family: Bacterial small subunit ribosomal RNA
Source: RNAcentral